This 87-nucleotide transfer RNA is filed under the name Robiginitomaculum sp. RNAcentral describes it as "tRNA-Leu". It matches the Rfam family "tRNA". From Rfam's summary of the family: Transfer RNA (tRNA) molecules are approximately 80 nucleotides in length. Their secondary structure includes four short double-helical elements and three loops (D, anti-codon, and T loops). Lineage: Bacteria; Pseudomonadati; Pseudomonadota; Alphaproteobacteria; Maricaulales; Robiginitomaculaceae. RNAcentral also lists the same sequence under 1 other name. The record is from RNAcentral.
GCCCCCGUGGCGGAAUUGGUAGACGCGACGGAUUCAAAAUCCGUUGACCUAACGGUCGUGCCAGUUCGAUUCUGGCCGGGGGCACCA